Molecule: ribosomal RNA, 321 nt
Filed under: Bacteroides fragilis
Lineage: Bacteria; Pseudomonadati; Bacteroidota; Bacteroidia; Bacteroidales; Bacteroidaceae
Description: bacterial SSU rRNA
Rfam family: Bacterial small subunit ribosomal RNA
Source: RNAcentral
UACGUCCGGGGCUACACACGUGUUACAAUGGGGGGUACAGAAGGCAGCUAGCGGGUGACCGUAUGCUAAUCCCAAAAGCCUCUCUCAGUUCGGAUCGAAGUCUGCAACCCGACUUCGUGAAGCUGGAUUCGCUAGUAAUCGCGCAUCAGCCACGGCGCGGUGAAUACGUUCCCGGGCCUUGUACACACCGCCCGUCAAGCCAUGGGAGCCGGGGGUACCUGAAGUACGUAACCGCAAGGAUCGUCCUAGGGUAAAACUGGUGACUGGGGCUAAGUCGUAACAAGGUAGCCGUACCGGAAGGUGCGGCUGGAACACCUCCUU